GAUGAACGCUGGCGGCGUGCCUAAUACAUGCAAGUCGAGCGAACGGACGAGAAGCUUGCUUUUCUGAUGUUAGCGGCGGACGGGUGAGUAACACGUGGAUAACCUACCUAUAAGACUGGGAUAACUUCGGGAAACCGGAGCUAAUACCGGAUAAUAUUUUGAACCGCAUGGUUCAAAAGUGAAAGACGGUCUUGCUGUCACUUAUAGAUGGAUCCGCGCUGCAUUAGCUAGUUGGUAAGGUAACGGCUUACCAAGGCAACGAUGCAUAGCCGACCUGAGAGGGGUAUCGGGCACACUGGAGCUGGGACACGGUCCAGACUCCUACGGGAGGCAGCAGUAGGGAAUCUUCCGGAAUGGGCGAAAGCCUUACGGAGCAACGCCGCGUGGGUGAAGAAGGUCUUCGGAUCGUAAAACUCUGUUAUUAGGGAAGAACAUAUGUGUAAGUAACUGUGCACAGCUUGACGGUACCUAAUCAGAAAGCCACGGCUAACUACGUG
RNAcentral lists this ribosomal RNA (497 nucleotides) under uncultured bacterium. Its description in RNAcentral is "partial 16S ribosomal RNA". It matches the Rfam family "Bacterial small subunit ribosomal RNA", at positions 28 to 507 of the family's 1533-position model. The record is from RNAcentral.